Molecule: ribosomal RNA, 168 nt
Filed under: Ostorhinchus endekataenia (candystripe cardinalfish)
Lineage: Eukaryota; Metazoa; Chordata; Actinopteri; Kurtiformes; Apogonidae
Description: partial 12S ribosomal RNA
Source: RNAcentral
CACCGCGGUUAUACGAGAGGCUCAAGCGGACAGUCGCCGGCGUAAAGAGUGGUUAAUAUUACAAUAAACUAAAGCCGAACAUCUUCAAAGUUGUUGAAAGCAUUCGAAGACACGAAGACCUACUACGAAAGUGGCUUUACACUUUUUGACUCCACGAAAGCUAGGGAA